This 76-nucleotide transfer RNA is filed under the name Thalassolituus marinus. RNAcentral's name for it is "tRNA-Asn". It matches the Rfam family "tRNA". Rfam says of the family: Transfer RNA (tRNA) molecules are approximately 80 nucleotides in length. Their secondary structure includes four short double-helical elements and three loops (D, anti-codon, and T loops). RNAcentral also lists the same sequence under 9 other names. Lineage: Bacteria; Pseudomonadati; Pseudomonadota; Gammaproteobacteria; Oceanospirillales; Oceanospirillaceae. The record is from RNAcentral.
UCCCCGAUAGCUCAGUCGGUAGAGCAGCGGACUGUUAAUCCGUUGGUCGCUGGUUCAAGUCCAGCUCGGGGAGCCA